Molecule: RNA transcript, 1368 nt
Organism: Carlito syrichta (Philippine tarsier)
Lineage: Eukaryota; Metazoa; Chordata; Mammalia; Primates; Tarsiidae
Gene name: retinoid-inducible serine carboxypeptidase pseudogene
Exons: 1
Source: RefSeq, a predicted model, not a curated record
AUGGCGCUGGCGCCGCGGAGUUCUGCUGGGCCGCGGCGGCUGCUGCCGCUGCUGGCGCUGCUGGCCCUGAGCGUGGGAGCUGUCAUCGACUGGCCCACGGAGGAGGGCAAGGAAGUAUGGGAUGAUGUGACUGUCCGCGAGGCUGCCCACAUGUUCUGGUGGCUCUAUUAUGCCACCAAUCCCUGCAAGAACUUCUCAGAACUGCCCCGGUCAUGUGGCUUCAGGGUGGUCCAGGCAGCUCCAGCACCGGAUUUGGGAACUUUGAGGAAAUUGGGCCCCUUGACAGCGACCUCAAACCACGAAGAACAACCUGGCUCCAAGCUGCCAGUCUCCUAUUUGUGGAUAAUCCCGUGGGCACUGGGUACGGUUACAUGAAUAAGGGUGGUGCACAUGCCAAGGACCUGGCUGCAGUGGCUUCAGACAUGAUGGUUCGCCUGAAGACCUUCUUUGAUUGCCACAAGGAAUUCCAGACAAUUCCAUUCUACAUUUUCUCAGAGUCCUACGGAGGAAAAAUGGCAGCUGGCAUUGGUCUAGAACUUUAUAAGGCCAUUCAGCAGGGGACCAUCAAGUGCAACUUUGCGGGGGUUGCUUUGGGAGAUUCCUGGAUCUCCCCUAUUGAUUCUGUGCUCUCCUGGGGACCUUACCUGUACAGCAUGUCUCUUCUCAAAGACAGUGGUCUGGCAGAGUUGUCUAAGGUUGCAGAGGAAGUCCUGGAUGCUAUAAAUAGUGGACUCUACAAAGAGGCCACCCAGCUACAGGAGAAAGCAGAAAUGGUCAUUGAACAGAACACCGACAGGGUAAACUUCUACAUCUUAACUAAAAGUGCACAUGAGUCUAUGCUGGAGUUGAGUCUAGAGUUCACACACAGUCACCUUGUUCGUCUUUGACAGCACCAUGUGAGACACCUGCAACGGGACACCUUAAGUCGGCUCAUGAAUGGCCCUAUCCGAAAGAAGCUCAAGAUCAUUCCUGAGGAUCACACCUGGGGAGGCCAGGCUGCCAAUGUCUUUGUACACAUGGAAGAGGACUUCAUGAGCAUCGUGGAUAAACUGCUGGCGGCUGGGGUCAACGUGACUCUGUAUAAUGGCCAGCUCGACCUCAUCGUGGACACCAUGGGUCAGGCCUGGGUACGGAAGCUCAAGUGACCAGAACUGCCCAAAUUCAACGAGCUAAAGUGGAAAGCCCUAGACAGCGACCCUAAAUCUCCAGAAACAUUUGCUUUUGUCAAGUCCCACAAGAACCUGACUUUCUACUGGAUUCUAAGAGCUGGUCACAUGAUUCCUUCUGACCAAGGGGACAUGGCUCUGAAGAUGAUGAGACUGGUGACUCAGCAAGAAUAGGAUGGACUGGGCUGGAGAAGAGCUGGUU